AUUGAACGCUGGCGGCAGGCCUAACACAUGCAAGUCGAGCGAGCGGCGGACGGGUGAGUAAUGUAUGGGGACUGCCCGAUAGAGGGGGAUAACUACUGGAAACGGUAGCUAAUACCGCAUACUAUCGGAUAACCCAUAUGGGAUUAGCGAGUAGGUGAGGUAAUGGCUCACCUAGGCGACGAUCCCUAGCUGGUCUGAGGGGAUGAUCAGCCACACGUGGACUGAGACACGGCCCAUACUCCUACGGAGGCAGCAGGGGGGAAUGUUGAACAAUGGGCGCAAGCCUGAUGCAGCAAUGCCGCGUGGAUGAAGAAGGCCCGAGGGUUGUAAAGUACUUUCAGUCGGGAGGCGUUACCGGCAGAAGAAGCACCGGCUAACUCCGUGCCAGCAGCCGCGGUAAUAC
RNAcentral lists this ribosomal RNA (403 nucleotides) under uncultured bacterium. Its description in RNAcentral is "partial 16S ribosomal RNA". It matches the Rfam family "Bacterial small subunit ribosomal RNA", at positions 30 to 526 of the family's 1533-position model. The record is from RNAcentral.